Molecule: ribosomal RNA, 253 nt
Filed under: uncultured bacterium
Lineage: Bacteria
Also listed under: 1 other name
Description: partial 16S ribosomal RNA
Rfam family: Bacterial small subunit ribosomal RNA
Source: RNAcentral
UACGUAGGGACCAAGCGUUGUUCGGAUUUACUGGGCGUAAAGGGCGCGUAGGCGGCGUGUCAAGUCAAUUGUGAAAUCUCCGAGCUUAACUCGGAACGGUCAAUUGAUACUGAUGUGCUAGAGUGCAGAAGGGGCAAUCGGAAUUCUUGGUGUAGCGGUGAAAUGCGUAGAUAUCAAGAGGAACACCUGAGGUGAAGACGGGUUGCUGGGCUGACACUGACGCUGAGGCGCGAAAGCUAGGGUAGCAAACGGG